AAUGCCCUAAUUUGUAGCUUUAGUGUUUGGCCCUUACUGGCUCUAAGUCGAUCAGCCUUUAAUAAAGUGGUGCUCUCAAAAGCCCUUAAUGUGACCAUCAUUAUGGAAACCAUCCAAGGCAAGGAGCUUAGCUGCAUUAAUGAAGGAGGCAUGGCUCCUGUCUUACCUGUGCAGAAAGAGCCAUCCAACAUUGAGGCCAUUAUUCAGACACCAUGCCACAUAAAAAGGUGUUGGCAGCAAGUCUGGCUUUAUGAAGACAUAUCCAAGUUCAUUCCUGCCAGGAAAAAGUGGGUAUGGAGAGAGGAAAACAAUGCCUGCAUUGACCAAACAAACCUUUCUGGCCUCAUUUUCGUUAUAUUAGGAGGGACUUUACAUUGGAAUUAAACAUUUUGGCUUAAAUCAGA
Passer domesticus (house sparrow) is the source of this 404-nucleotide long non-coding RNA. RefSeq lists it as uncharacterized. The transcript has 3 exons. The record is from RefSeq and is a predicted model, not a curated record. Lineage: Eukaryota; Metazoa; Chordata; Aves; Passeriformes; Passeridae.